GACAGAGGGUGCAAGCGUUGUUCGGAAUCACUGGGCGUAAAGGGCGUGUAGGUGGCGGAGUAUGUCCGACGUGAAAUCCCUCGGCUUAACUGGGGAAGUGCAUCGGAAACUGCUUUGCUUGAGUGCGAGAGAGGAUGGCGGAAUUCCCAGAGUAGAGGUGAAAUUCGUAGAUACUGGGAGGAACACCGGUGGCGAAGGCGGCCAUCUGGUUCGCAACUGACACUGAGACGCGAAAGCGUGGGGAGCAAACAGG
Molecule: ribosomal RNA, 253 nt
Filed under: uncultured bacterium
Lineage: Bacteria
Description: partial 16S ribosomal RNA
Rfam family: Bacterial small subunit ribosomal RNA
Source: RNAcentral